Long non-coding RNA from Poecilia latipinna (sailfin molly), 474 nucleotides. RefSeq lists it as uncharacterized. Lineage: Eukaryota; Metazoa; Chordata; Actinopteri; Cyprinodontiformes; Poeciliidae. The transcript has 3 exons. The record is from RefSeq and is a predicted model, not a curated record.
GGACUUUUUUUUUUUACUGUGUAUAGACCCUCUAGAGCUGCUACUGAGAGUAAACCAAACUGUUGCCAUGGUGAAGCCUAUGCCAGACACGUCUCCAAUCACGUAUUGCACCAUCUACAAGAAACUUUGGGAAUUGCAAGUGAUGCUGUCCUUCACAUUCUUGAGCAGAUGACCCAACAACUUCAAUCAAACAAGACCACUUUUCAGCUCUGUGGUGAUGUGAAACCAACUUUCUACUGGCCAUUGGAACCAUGCCUGCCCUGAUCUUCUGAAAGGAGGACUGAUAGUGUGAUGUACAUCACAGCUACUACACCUUUCAGCAUGCGUGUGGCCACUCCUCUCUGUGCUACUGACGUAUAUCUUGAGAACGCCGUCCGUAACUGCGAAAAGACUUCCACAUAUAAAAGGCUAUGGCUCAUUGGAAGAAGUUUAUUGCGAAGUAAGCUCCUAUUGUUGACAUCUAAUCCCCCCCUA